AAUCAACGCUGGCGGCGUGCCUCAGACAUGCAAGUCGAACGAUUAAGACUUCCUUCGGGAAGUGUAUAAAGUGGCGCACGGGUGAGUAACACGUAAGUAAUCUACCUUCGAGUGGGGAAUAACGUUCGGAAACGAACGCUAAUACCGCAUAAUGCAGCGGCAUCGCAAGAUGACAGUUGUUAAAGGAAUUUAUUUCGCUUGAAGAGGAGCUUGCGGCAGAUUAGCUAGUGGGUAAGGUAACGGCUUACCAAGGCUACGAUCUGUAUCCGGUCUAAGAGGACGGUCGGACACACUGACACUGAAUAACGGGUCAGACUCCUACGGGAGGCAGCAGUCGGGAAUUUUGGGCAAUGGGGCGAAAGCCUGACCCAGCAACGCCGCGUGAAGGAUGAAGUAUUUCGGUAUGUAAACUUCGAAAGAAUGGGAAGAAUAAAUGACGGUACUAUUUGUAAGGUCCGGCUAACUACGUGCCAGCAGCCGCGGUAAU
Molecule: ribosomal RNA, 487 nt
Filed under: uncultured bacterium
Lineage: Bacteria
Description: bacterial SSU rRNA
Rfam family: Bacterial small subunit ribosomal RNA
Source: RNAcentral